RNAcentral lists this long non-coding RNA (438 nucleotides) under Marmota monax (woodchuck). The record is from RNAcentral. Lineage: Eukaryota; Metazoa; Chordata; Mammalia; Rodentia; Sciuridae.
UAAUCCCAAAUCUCUAAUCUGACAGGUGUCAUUAUGAAAAGAAGAGAUGGGGACACAGACACACGACCACGAGAGGACUCAGGAGAAGGCUGCCUUCUGCAAGCCAAGAGGAGAGGGCUCAACAGGCCAAGCCAGGACCACACACUCCUGAGCUCCCUUUUCCUAAUGCUGAACCGAUGCUGAACCUCGACUUCCAGCCUCCACGACUGAGAAAAUGAACUUUUAUGUCAGCCACCAAAUCUGAACUGCUCUGUUACGGUAGCCCUAGCACGCUGGUACACCUAUAGUUCCUUUUCCCAUUGUGGUUUCAACUUAAAAAAGAAGCAAGCUGAGCUGGGCACAGUGAUCCACACCUGUAAUCCCAGUGGCUUGGGAGGCUGAGGCAGGAGGAUGGUGAGUUCAAAGCCAGCCUCAGCAAUUUAGUGAGGCCUAAGCAAC